UGGAGUGGAGGUUGCUAUUUGCUGGACGUGUCACAAAUAUCAGAGCCAUUCCAGCAAUGCUUCAAAAAAAAAAAAAAUCAGAGCCACACUACCUCUUGUUUGGGAUACAUAAAUGGGAGGUGUGAUUCGGUAAAAUUGUCGCACAUGUUGAUUGGCUUUGUUUCGAGCGACUUCCAAUUUAAAUAUCAGGUUUUCUUCAUAAAUAGUAGUUUAGAGAGAGUUCAUUUUCUUACAUUUACUCCUCUCCUCCACCACCUCGAAUGCUUCUAAACCUUAUUGCGUGAAUAUAUAUGUAUAUAUACUACCUCCGUCCUAUAAUAAAGCUACUACUUCUAUCAUUAAAAUUUUAUCCCAUAAUAUAACUACUCCCUGUGCUUUAUUUAGCUUGAGAGGUCUAAAAUAUCCUUUAUGCAUGCAAAUUAAUU
This 425-nucleotide long non-coding RNA is filed under the name Setaria viridis. Its description in RNAcentral is "long non-coding RNA (SVIR_LNC010497)". The record is from RNAcentral. Lineage: Eukaryota; Viridiplantae; Streptophyta; Magnoliopsida; Poales; Poaceae.